Molecule: non-coding RNA, 75 nt
Organism: Ignavibacteria bacterium GWF2_33_9
Lineage: Bacteria; Pseudomonadati; Ignavibacteriota; Ignavibacteria
Source: Rfam
GGGCGAGUAGCUCAGUUGGUCUAGAGCAUCUGCCUUACAAGCAGAGGGUCGGGGGUUCGACUCCCUCCUCGCCCA